GUAAAGUUAUUAUUUUUACAAUAAUAUAAUGUUGUUCAUAUAUAAACAAAGUGUUAAAAUAUGACAUAGGACCAAAUUUCUUCGAUCCUACCAAGAGUGCACAAGGGGUGAAAGAGUGGAUUCGAGGCGUGCACAUGCUUCAGAUGAAGCCAGCAAACAACCCCUUUGAAAAUUCAAUAAUGAUCCUUCCGCAGGUUCACCUACGGAAA
This 209-nucleotide unclassified non-coding RNA is filed under the name uncultured fungus. RNAcentral's name for it is "sequence contains ITS1". Lineage: Eukaryota; Fungi. The record is from RNAcentral.